AGAUGAAUGCCUGAGUAAAGGGCUAUCCUGAUAGGGUAAAUUACGCAUUUUUAUGCUUUAUCUU
Molecule: transfer RNA, 64 nt
Filed under: Allonychiurus kimi
Lineage: Eukaryota; Metazoa; Arthropoda; Collembola; Poduromorpha; Onychiuridae
Description: tRNA-Ile
Source: RNAcentral